Molecule: non-coding RNA, 184 nt
Organism: Arabidopsis thaliana (thale cress)
Lineage: Eukaryota; Viridiplantae; Streptophyta; Magnoliopsida; Brassicales; Brassicaceae
Product: other RNA
Exons: 2
Source: RefSeq
CAUAAGCGUUAGGGUUUUCCUCGAGAAACCUAAGAAUCGCCGCCAUUGGGGACCUUUAUAUACAAACCACACAUGACUUUGACAGACAUCAAGCUCUUAUCAAGAUGAGGUAAUACUGCAACAAUAUGAUGGAGUAAUCUUUGUGAUUAUUAGUAUUUAAGUCUCUGAUGAUCUUAAUCGUUUU